RNAcentral lists this long non-coding RNA (1077 nucleotides) under Bemisia tabaci. Its description in RNAcentral is "lncRNA ENSSSA3NGG013634". Lineage: Eukaryota; Metazoa; Arthropoda; Insecta; Hemiptera; Aleyrodidae. The record is from RNAcentral.
AUGAGGCAUUCUGUAAUAGUUCAAAAACUAGAACCAAGCAAAGGACUAACAAUAGAGCCUACAAAACUAAGUGGGAAACUACGAAGCCCUUUACCAAGUCCAGUUCCCUCACCAGUCACAAGUCCUUCACCAACGAGAAGCCGUUUUCACGUAUCAAAAGUGUCAGAAAUGUCUGAUUCGUUCACGUCCACCGACUCGAACACAUCUUCCUCUCUCUCACCAUCAUCAAUGUUCAGUAAUUCAAGGUUUAAGGUCACAGUGGUCGAACCUGAAAAAUCAACCGUUGUCAUCUCAGUACCGUCCAAAAAAAACACAACUGUUGGUUUUGAGUGUGUUCCUCCCUCACCCACUACGCAGAAAUUAAACAAAGAGAACUCAUCGGAGUCAAGAAUCAGUUUUCCUUUCAAGCUUAAUAAACCAAUCGAUAGCUUGGACAUUGUUGCAUCAAAAAUCAUGAAACAACCUGCAGUAGACCUAGCCGCCCCACCCAGAGCCCGUAAAAUCUCUUGGAUUGCUCCAUCUUCAAUGUUCUCUUUUUCUCAAAUGCAAGCAUCAAUUGAUGAUAUCAACAAACCAACAUCAAGUUUAGACCGAUUAAUAGACCUGUUUAAAAGUCCGUUCAGUCAGUUUCAAAACAAACCGCAAAGUGCAGUCACCGAUGCAACAUCUGAUGAACGGAACCAAGCACCUCCUGUUGGGCCUUUUUCCAGUGUUGAAAAUAACAACUGUUUGGAACUUCAAGGCAUCCAAACAUAUUUGGUGCCCCCAGAAACAAACAACAAAACAAUACCAUUGAGCAGUGAGCGCAAUACUGAAGAGACCCCUUAUACUCCAAUGGUCAGUAGCCCCUCAAGGAAUGAACUGCUAUUUCCUGAAGAAGAUGAGAAAAUUAUUGUCACCAUUAGUGAAAGUGCAACACAAUGUGGUAGGAAUACAUGCAUGAUUGGUCUCUCUGAUAAAAGCCACCCUGUGAAUGCGGAUAGUUCUGUGGACUUAAGUCCAGAUCAUACAUCCUCAGAACUAAAGAUUCGAGAUCAGCCUCUGCAUUCAACAGUUCUAAUGAUAGCUGUAGCCUAA